Molecule: non-coding RNA, 55 nt
Filed under: Prorocentrum micans
Lineage: Eukaryota; Dinophyceae; Prorocentrales; Prorocentraceae
Source: RNAcentral
UGGAAACACCUUGCAGUUGCACCUUGGAAAAAAAAAAAAAAAAAAAAAAAAAAAA